AGUUAAACGAUGACAGGGACAGUAAAGUUAUUUUUAUCUUAUUGAAGCGAGCCAAGGAUAGUGGAAGCUUGGUAUAAGCAAUAACUGGAAGAUCACCCUCGAGUUCUUGAUUUGAAAACGCGGGAGCGCGCGUAAGUAAAUGAUGGCGUUCAUUCACGUUACGAAUGCAUGAGUGGACAGUGGAUACAUUGUCUAGCAGGGUGGUACCGCGGGAAAACCUUCUCGUCCCUAUU
This 233-nucleotide non-coding RNA is filed under the name Heyndrickxia shackletonii. RNAcentral describes it as "Bacillus shackletonii T-box sequence". It matches the Rfam family "T-box leader". From Rfam's summary of the family: Uncharged tRNA acts as the effector for transcription antitermination of genes in the T-box leader family. T-boxes are found upstream of many aminoacyl-tRNA synthetase genes and some amino acid biosynthetic genes usually in Gram-positive bacteria. The anticodon of a specific tRNA base pairs to a specifier sequence within the T-box motif, and the NCCA acceptor tail of the tRNA base pairs to a conserved bulge in the T-box antiterminator hairpin. Lineage: Bacteria; Bacillati; Bacillota; Bacilli; Caryophanales; Bacillaceae. The record is from RNAcentral.